Molecule: ribosomal RNA, 497 nt
Filed under: uncultured bacterium
Lineage: Bacteria
Description: partial 16S ribosomal RNA
Rfam family: Bacterial small subunit ribosomal RNA
Source: RNAcentral
GAUGAACGCUGGCGGCGUGCCUAAUACAUGCAAGUCGAGCGAACAGACGAGGAGCUUGCUCCUCUGACGUUAGCGGCGGACGGGUGAGUAACACGUGGAUAACCUACCUAUAAGACUGGGAUAACUUCGGGAAACCGGAGCUAAUACCGGAUAAUAUAUUGAACCGCAUGGUUCAAUAGUGAAAGACGGUUUUGCUGUCACUUAUAGAUGGAUCCGCGCCGCAUUAGCUAGUUGGUAAGGUAACGGCUUACCAAGGCAACGAUGCGUAGCCGACCUGAGAGGGUGAUCGGCCACACUGGAACUGAGACACGGUCCAGACUCCUACGGGAGGCAGCAGUAGGGAAUCUUCCGCAAUGGGCGAAAGCCUGACGGAGCAACGCCGCGCGAGUGAUGAAGGUCUUCGGAUCGUAAAACUCUGUUAUUAGGGAAGAACAAAUGUGUAAGUAACUAUGCACGUCUUGACGGUACCUAAUCAGAAAGCCACGGCCAACUACGUG